CUUUCUGAAAACAGGGAAUCAUUUGAAAAAAAAAAAUAGAGUUCGCAUAAGGAGAAAAAGUGAUAUGGCUAGUUGAUUGGCUAAGAACACAAUGGCAGAUUGAUAAACAACCUGCUCGCCUUCCCUAGGAGGCUCUAAGCUUUGAGGUUUAUCUUCUGCUUGAACUAAUCUAUUGCGCCUAUGGCUCUUAUAUAAUGAGCCGGCUUACAAAAUCCCAACUAACUAGGACUCUAUCUCUAAUCUGAACCUAAACUAAUUAGCCUCUCCUGGAGGAGGCGGGCCCUUGUUCCUGCGGUGAAACUUCUUGCCGAAGAAGUUGUCCACAACACUUCCGCCCACCUGACAGAAAAGCUCGUCCUCGAGCUUGAAAUCUGGGUAGCUCUCUUUGAAAGUGUGAAGCGGCUCCCAAGUAGCAUCAGCAGCUCCACGACCUACCCAUUGCACCAGAAGAUCCCAGGAGGUGGCUGUCAGCUUGGCACGCACCACCUUCGCCGGAGUAGGCACUGCGCGACCAUGAACCACAGGCGGCAAGGCGACGAUGUGCUCAGGCACAGGACCCUGGUGCUUCUUCAGAAAGACCACAUGAAAGACAUCAUGGAUCUGAGCCUUUGGGGGUAGGCAAAGACGGUAUGCCACCGACCCAUGCGUUUGACCACUUGAAAAGGCCCAUAGAAGCGGGGAGCAAGCUUGGCGUUGGACUUGUCAGUGAUGGCCAUGGCUGAGUGUUGAUGCAGGCGCAGCCAUGCCCAUUCGCCCACCACAAACUCCAGCGCUCGGUGAGCUUUGUCAUGCGUUGCCUUCAUGUAGUCCUGCGCCUGAAGAAGACGUUUCCGGAUUUCUGCCAGAAACUCAUCCCGCUGCACAAGCUGCCUGUCCAACGCCACCACACGUGCCAGGCUCGGCUGGUAGGACAACAGGGAGGGAGGAUCCCGGCCAAACACCACCCGAAAUGGCGUGCACUACAAGGCGGACUGGUAGGAUGUGUUGUAGCAGUAUUCUGCCCCCAAGGCAACCAGCGCAGCCAGCUGCGAGGACGGUCGCCCACCAAGCAGCGAAGAUACACCCCCAGCACGCGAUUUGUCACCUCUGAUUGACCAUCUGUCUGCGGGCGAAAGGCGGAGCUGAGGCGCCACUUGACGCCCGCGAUGAUCCCUUGCUCCAACAUCGCCUGGCAUUGGGCCUCAAUCUCAUCUUUCAGCAGCUGCGGGUAGCGGUAGGGCCGCACCGCCACUGGAGGAGUCGCCGGCAGGAGGUGUAUGUGGUGGUUGAAAGCCCGCGGCGGGGGAAGGCCCGACGGCGUGGCAAACAAAUCGGCGAAAUCCUGGAGGAGCAGCUCCAGCAGGUUGGUGGACUAAGUGAGGGCCAGCCGUGGAGAAGGUCGAGCGUUGACCCCGAACCACUUGACGCGGUGGUCCUGGUGCCAGAAUGCCAUGGACAACCGAUUGAAGUCCCAAAGGAUGGGUCGCAGGGUGCGUAGCCACUCGCAACCCAGAACGAGCUCGUAGCCGUCGAGUGGGAUGACGAACAGGUUGAUGCAGAACUCCUCCUGGCCGAUGUGGACGACAACGUUCCGGCAGACGCCGGCGGAUGGCACGCGGUCGCCAUUGGCAACACCGACGGUGAGGCCCAGUCGUGCCUCGGGCGUGAGCCCAAGCCGGGCGGCGGUGUCUGCGGCGAUGAACGAAUGGGUGGAUUCUGAAUCCACCAAGGCGGUGAGGCUGACGGCGUGGACGACGGUGGUAAGCUGUAAGGUGGAACUCGUUUGGAUGCUAGUGGUGGCAUUGACAGAUAUUGUCAGCUCGUCCUUGGCCGCGCCAUCAGAGUCGUCGUUGCCCUCUAGUUCCAUCCAGUAGAUGCCCUUCAUGGAACAUUGCUUGGAGUGCUCGCGCGAGAACUUCUCCGGGCAAUUAAAACACAGGCCGGCGAGGCGGCGCUGCACCAUCUCCUCUGGCAUGAGGCGCAUGAAGCGCACACCUGGCGGAGCAGCCGGCUUGACUGGCGCGCCUGGCGUCGUAGACGAAGCACUGUAUGCUGGCGGUGUCAAUGGAGACCGCGCCAGGGUGGCGUGAUGAUGAACGCGUCGAACACACCAAGGAACAACAGCCGUCAUCAACCACCUGGGUGCGGCGCUCGUAGGCCCGGGCGAGUGCCAUGGCGUCCUCUAGGGUCUCGGGCUUAUGCAGCUCCACGUCGAUGCUCAUUGGUUGGAGGAGGCCGGUGGUGAAGAUAUCGAUCUGUUGUUGCUCGGUGACGCCCUCGCAUCGCGCUGGGAGCUUGAGGAAUUGCUCCUGGUAGCUGUCGACGGAGCCCGUGCGACGUAGAUGGGUCAGCUCGCCGAGGGGAUUGCUGCGCACCAGGGGGCCAAACCGCUUGUUAACGCCUUCGACGAAAGCGGGCCAAGUGGGGACACCGCGAUUCUUCUCCAGGCGGUAGUACCAUUGGCCGGCGGCGUCCUCCAAGUAGAAUGUCGCCGUCCAGACCUUCUGGUCCUCCGGCGUGCCCUGCGAGCGAAAGAACUGCUCGCACUUGUGAAGCUAGCCCAGGGGAUCCUCGAUGCCGUCGUACUUGGGGAAGCGAAGCUUGUGGACGGGCUGUGGCGGCAGCCCAUGCUUGCCAUCGCCGGGUGAUGAGGAACCAGAGGCGUCGAAGCGGCCGUGCUUCUCCAGCACUUGUGUCUGGACGUUGCUGAUGGACGAGGAGAGGCAGCCCUGUUCCUGGCGGACGCUGCCAAGCUCCCGAUCCAACUUCUGGCUGAUGUCGUUCAUCUUGGCAAUCAUCUUGGCGAUGGCGUCCUCGAAAACAGACUGGGUGACGAAGGGGUCACCCAUGGUUGCGGUGGAGCGGUGGGUUUGGCGAUAGAAACUUCAGCGGAAGGGUGAUGGCCAGGGAGAACAGGAAACAGGAACGGUGGAAGGCUGAUACCAGAGAUGAUAUGGCUAGUUGAUUGGCUAAGAACACAAGGGCAGAUUGAUAAACAACCUGCUCGCCCUCCCUAGGAGGCUCUGAGCUUUGAGGUUUAUCUUCUGCUUGAACUAAUCUAUUGCGCCUAUGGCUCUUAUAUAAUGAGCCGGGUUACAAAAUCCCAACUAACUAGGACUCUAUCUCUAAUCUGAAUCUAAACUAAUUAGCCUCUCCUGGAGGAGGCGGGCCCUUAUUCCUGCGGUGGAACUUCUUGCCGAAGAAGUUGUCCACAACAAAAAGGCACCUUCAGGUAGUUCAAAAAUGGCAUGAACAUUUCGCACCUUG
Molecule: long non-coding RNA, 3246 nt
Filed under: Setaria viridis
Lineage: Eukaryota; Viridiplantae; Streptophyta; Magnoliopsida; Poales; Poaceae
Description: long non-coding RNA (SVIR_LNC000036)
Source: RNAcentral